Cyanidioschyzon merolae strain 10D is the source of this 1678-nucleotide RNA transcript. RefSeq lists it as hypothetical. The record is from RefSeq and is a predicted model, not a curated record. Lineage: Eukaryota; Rhodophyta; Bangiophyceae; Cyanidiales; Cyanidiaceae. The transcript has a single exon.
AAGCGCACUGCCUGCCUGCCUGCCUGCCUGCCUGCCUGCCUGCCUGCCUGCCUGCCUGCCUGCCUGCCUCGUUUGGCUCCUGUGCUACCACGUUUCUCUGGACAGGUGCUUCCAGAGCUGAGCAGCCCCCAUCUCGGGAUCCGACCGUCCGGUGCACGUCACGCGUCUAUUCGACGUGGUCUCGGUAUGCCAGAUCAAGGUGAAUCGCGCGUCAGUAGACACUUGUGUACUGGAUGGCCUCCUCUGUGCGGUGCCGCUGCUCUCUGCGAGUAAGCCUGAAGCGUCCGAGCAGCCACACGAAGAGCACUGGCGGCGCUCGUUCAAGAUUUCUCGUUUCCAGGGACGACGGCGACCGACGGGAUACCAAGCUCGACGGUCUUUGUGACGCUUGUGAAUCCGAAACCUGCGUCGAGCCACGAAACGCAUAUCCAACGGAUCCGGGCACAUGAAGGGAAAGGUCACGUGCCGUGCGUCGAUCCCCGCUGGGGGGAAAUCAUCACCGCCACCGAUUAUCUAUUGAAAGAUGGCGGAGGUCACAACCUGAACGGAAAGCGGAUGAACCUGUUCAACCUCUUCAAUCGCUCGGUAUGAGCGGCAGUCGGACGUGAUGGGCGCUAGAAGGCAUACGAACAGCAAGGGGAGCGGUGGCGGCAUCAGGACCCAAGUCGACGCUCCAGGCACCGUAUGGAGCCGAGGGUUAUGCUUCCUAUAAUUUAUUCCGAGCGUCCAUGAGCGACCAAAUGCAUCGUGUGGAGGGUCUUUGGUGGGCGUCCUUGGUACUACGCUGAGGUCGCAAACGGUGUCGCUUCUACAGAGGCGGGAAACUCGCAUUCACCGGCAUUAUCGGUGAAUUCCAAGCGAAAAUCCCCGGCAGGUCCAAUCGUUUCCUGGCGGCAGCCUAUGACGCUGGACGUUCAGAAGCGCGCAAAGGACGCGGACCUGCUCAUGCUUCGACGGGAGUGUCCAAUAAGCUCAGGUGCCUAUGCCGCACGCUUCCUGUCGGUGCGUUCAGCACGACGUACAUGCGCUACGAGUGCGGGUGCAUGCUGAAAAACCGACAGACAAGAACGGUGCGAAACAGAGCUGCAUGCGCGAGAUGGUGCACUGUCAGCCGCGCAAACGGCAGAUCACGAAGUAAUCAAAGCUGAGAAGCUCGCUAUGCUUACAUUUCUUCAAUAAGAGCGCUUACAUGCAUGUACUGUGUCUAUCGAGCGUUGGAAAAACCCCAUUCCAGAUCUCUGGGAACGAUCUCGUGCUUACAUUUCUUCAAUAAGAACACAUGCAUGUACUGUGUCUAUCGAGCGUUGGAAAAACCCCCAUUCCAGAUCUCUGGGAACGAUCUCGUGCUUACAUUUCUUCAAUAAGAACACAUGCAUGUACUGUGUCUAUCGAGCGUUGGAAAACCCCCAUUCGAGAUCUCUGGGAACGAUCUCGUGCUUACAUUUCUUCAAUAAGAACACAUGCAUGUACUGUGUCUAUCGAGCGUUGGAAAGCUCCCAUUCCAGAUCUCUGGGAACGAUCUCGUGCUUACAUUUCUUCAAUAAGAACACAUGCAUGUACUGUGUCUAUCGAGCGUUGGAAAACCCCCAUUCGAGAUCUCUGGGAACGAUCUCAUGAUUUCGGAGCGUCCAGUGGCUUUAUGUGUCGCGCGAUCAUUCAGGUAAAUCGUGUCGUACAC